This is a long non-coding RNA of Helianthus annuus (common sunflower), 1905 nucleotides long. RefSeq lists it as uncharacterized. NCBI's taxonomy places the organism in Eukaryota, Viridiplantae, Streptophyta, Magnoliopsida, Asterales, Asteraceae. The transcript has 14 exons. The record is from RefSeq and is a predicted model, not a curated record.
ACGUCAGAAAGCUUCCACCUUUCCAGUUUCCUCAAAUAGUUUCUCAUUCAAAUUCAAAUUCACUAUUUCCCCAAUCCAGAUCUGGAAAACAAAUUCCAUAACCCAGAGAGAGAGCCGAUGGAAACGCCCUUGAUUCAACCGAUCUUCAUAUAUAAGUUUUUGACCGAUUAUGGUUUUUCGAUUCGUCGUCUGUAGAGAUGAAGAUCGUCUUCUUCAGGUGUUUACAACGAUCUCGGAGCUCCAGAUCUGAGCAUAAGUUUAUCACGGCCGGUGCUCGGCGGCGAGCAACAUCCGUACCCUAGGCGGUGCCGUACUGGUCGCCCGAUGUCCACCAAAGGGUUAAUAUAUCAUUGUUUUGUUUGAGGAAUAAAUUGAAAAUCACUGUUGGAAUUGGAGCAAAAAUUAGAGAUCUUGAAUUUGUUUUUCGUUCAGAAGGGAAAAUAAAGCAUAACAAUGCUUCAGCAAUUGAUCUCAAUGCUAAAGAUGAUGGUCCAUCAUGUGUUGAUGACACAACUUUAUCGCAAUCGAAGAUGAAUUGUGUAAAGUCGAGAGGUUUCACAUUUGAUCUAAACAUCGAAGAUGAUCAAGAUCAAGUGAAACCGCGCGAUUCAUUGUCGGAAUGUGGGAGUACUUGUCAUUUAGGGGGUGAGCGAGACUCGGUGAGGGUUGGAACAAAAUGAAGCGAAACGGGUUUUUAAUAAGUUGCUGGAAAUAGAAAUCAAGUAAUCUGCUUUACUUCUUCAUCAGCAUUGUUGUUGUUCAUGGUUUGAUGGUUGUUUUCCUUCGACAUCAUGUUCGUUGCUGAAGGAUUUGAAGAGCUCUUCAAGGAAAUCACCCAGCUACUAACACCGAAGAUCACCUGACAUAGCAGGAACGAUUAUUGGUUCAUUCGGUUGAUGAUCUUGUACAUAGCGUGUGCGCAUAAGAUAUGGUGGUGAAGAAGAGAACGGAUAGUGGAGGAUUUCAUGAUUUACUGGCCCCGUGAUAACUAGAGCUCCUAGAUCCUUGCGGAGGAGGAUUCUACAUAACAAAUCAUUCAAAGAUGGUGGAAUUUGUGCUUUUGAGUUGUUGGCAAAUGUAGCCGACAAGCUAUUACUGAACUAUAAACCGAAAAACAUUGUCGAUUAUGAUGUUGGAGACGUCGAUAAUGAACUGGCGCAAGUCGAAUAUGUCGAAAGACAUCUACAAACUCCACAAACAUGUAGAGGAUUUGAAGGUUUUUUCCACCUUUAAUGAAGAGCUCUUCAACACCCAGCUACUAACACCGGAGAUCACCAUGGAGAAUAUGGUGUAUUUGUACGUUGAACUGGGACUGAUGCAUUACGGGAUUUUUAUUUGACCCUUUUGACCCGUUCAAGAUAACGCACAACCCGAAUGGGUCAAACGACACGUGAUGACCCGUAUGAGGUUCACCUAACUACACCAGUGGAGGGUUAUGAUCCCAUCCAAUUUAGUCUUACAAAAAUGUGCGAAUCCAAGCAAAAUGAAGCAGGAACAUCUCCGAAAGGAUGGGCUCUAUUUGGAUCAUUUCCUGCAUAUUCUGCUGCGAUGGCUUUAUUUACAAGACUCAAGUACAAAGACAAGCAAGCUAUGCUAUUUACUCUUUCAUUAAAAUGGGUUUUUUAAAAUAUGUAUAUUUUCUCAGAAUUAUUGUUUAAUAAAAGCAGCAUGGAAUUGAUGCACUGCCUGCCAUGACCAUUUUAUCUGCAUGUUUGGAGACUGUGAGUGGUGGGGGAGGUUACAUGCAGGCGGAUGAUUUUAGUUUGUUAUUUAUUUACUUAUUUUUAUUUUAGAUUAGCAUUAAUUUAUGUUACUUCAUACUUUAAAUAAACAUUUCAUAGGAACAUUUUAAAAAAUGGAGAUGUCGAACAAGUGUCAAAACAUUAUUAUUUUAAAUUAUUUGGU